UGGGGAAUAUUGCACAAUGGGCGCAAGCCUGAUGCAGCCAUGCCGCGUGUAUGAAGAAGGCCUUCGGGUUGUAAAGUACUUUCAGCGGGGAGGAAGGGAGUAAAGUUAAUACCUUUGCUCAUUGACGUUACCCACAGAAGAAGCACCGGCUAACUCCGUGCCAGCAGCCGCGGUAAUACGGAGGGUGCAAGCGUUAAUCGGAAUUACUGGGCGUAAAGCGCACGCAGGCGGUUUGUUAAGUCAGAUGUGAAAUCCCCGGGCUCAACCUGGGAACUGCAUCUGAUACUGGAAAGCUUGAGUCUCGUAGAGGGGGGUAGAAUUCCAGGUGUAGCGGUGAAAUGCGUAGAGAUCUGGAGGAAUACCGGUGGCGAAGGCGGCCCCCUGGACGAAGACUGACGCUCAGGUGCGAAAGCGUGGGGAGCAAACAGG
Molecule: ribosomal RNA, 429 nt
Filed under: Chloroflexota bacterium
Lineage: Bacteria; Bacillati; Chloroflexota
Description: Chloroflexi bacterium partial 16S ribosomal RNA
Rfam family: Bacterial small subunit ribosomal RNA
Source: RNAcentral